Long non-coding RNA from Daktulosphaira vitifoliae (grape phylloxera), 766 nucleotides. RefSeq lists it as uncharacterized. NCBI's taxonomy places the organism in Eukaryota, Metazoa, Arthropoda, Insecta, Hemiptera, Phylloxeridae. The transcript has 3 exons. The record is from RefSeq and is a predicted model, not a curated record.
GAUAAAAGGUAAAUGUGCAACUAUGUGUACGAAGAUGAAUAUGAGGAGGUGGUGCCUGCUGUCUAGGUAUUCACGUGCGUGUUGUCGUACAGCAGUCACCGUGCUCGGCUGACACUCCGGGUUAGCUGUGGGUGUCGAAAGGCUGUUGUUAUAGGAAGGGAGAAUAAGAGUAACACCUAGGUAUGAGGUGCAGACGAAGUGCAAGACACAAAUACUUGGGGUAUAGGAGAGGACAAUGAAGUACGAGGUGCAGACGAAGUGCAAGACACAAGUACUCCAAAGAGAGAACGGGAUAGCCGAGUAUAAGGUGCAGACGAAGUGCAAGACACAAGUACUCUGAAAUGUCGAGGAAAAGAGUAUAUAGGUUAGAAAAGGAAUAAACAAAGACUUUACUUUAAACAGUAAGCCGGACAGCGACAACCGAGUACUGAGACUGAUGAAUGACACAAGGCACUGGAGUCGACUGACCACGAUGGUCAGGUCUAUUGGGUUUUUAUAAUAAUUACACCUAUUGCCGAUUUGGCAAUAAAUAUUAUUUGUUAAUUCACCAAUCUCAGGCAGCGGAUGUGCUGUCUGUAUUUUAUUAAAAUAAUUCUCACGAUUAUGAAAACGUGACACCAUCACAAUAUAUUAUAAGUUUAUAAAUUAAAGAGAUUUCUUAAGUUUCAAAAAAUACAAAGUUUGGAUAUUUUUCAUGUUAUAAAUUGUGAAGGGUUACAAAAUGACAUGGUAUAGUUAAUCUAAUUAAUGAGUUUUGAUAAAAUAA